AUACUUACAUGGCAAGGGAGAUACUAUGAUCCUGAAGGUGAUUUUCUGAGUCUAGGCUCAUCCAUUGCACUAAGAAUGUGCCAACCCCUGAGAUUUCUCCAAAUGUGGAAAACUUGAUGGCAUAAUUUGUGGUAGUGGGAGACUAUGGUCAUGCUUUCCCC
Otolemur garnettii (small-eared galago) is the source of this 161-nucleotide small nuclear RNA. Its record names the gene U1. It matches the Rfam family "U1 spliceosomal RNA". Rfam says of the family: U1 is a small nuclear RNA (snRNA) component of the spliceosome (involved in pre-mRNA splicing). Its 5' end forms complementary base pairs with the 5' splice junction, thus defining the 5' donor site of an intron. There are significant differences in sequence and secondary structure between metazoan and yeast U1 snRNAs, the latter being much longer (568 nucleotides as compared to 164 nucleotides in human). The record is from Ensembl. NCBI's taxonomy places the organism in Eukaryota, Metazoa, Chordata, Mammalia, Primates, Galagidae.